This 906-nucleotide ribosomal RNA is filed under the name Escherichia coli. Its description in RNAcentral is "partial 23S ribosomal RNA". It matches the Rfam family "Bacterial large subunit ribosomal RNA", at positions 296 to 1212 of the family's 2925-position model. The record is from RNAcentral. Lineage: Bacteria; Pseudomonadati; Pseudomonadota; Gammaproteobacteria; Enterobacterales; Enterobacteriaceae. RNAcentral also lists the same sequence under 1 other name.
AGCCCAGAGCCUGAAUCAGUGUGUGUGUUAGUGGAAGCGUCUGGAAAGGCGCGCGAUACAGGGUGACAGCCCCGUACACAAAAAUGCACAUGCUGUGAGCUCGAUGAGUAGGGCGGGACACGUGGUAUCCUGUCUGAAUAUGGGGGGACCAUCCUCCAAGGCUAAAUACUCCUGACUGACCGAUAGUGAACCAGUACCGUGAGGGAAAGGCGAAAAGAACCCCGGCGAGGGGAGUGAAAAAGAACCUGAAACCGUGUACGUACAAGCAGUGGGAGCACGCUUAGGCGUGUGACUGCGUACCUUUUGUAUAAUGGGUCAGCGACUUAUAUUCUGUAGCAAGGUUAACCGAAUAGGGGAGCCGAAGGGAAACCGAGUCUUAACUGGGCGUUAAGUUGCAGGGUAUAGACCCGAAACCCGGUGAUCUAGCCAUGGGCAGGUUGAAGGUUGGGUAACACUAACUGGAGGACCGAACCGACUAAUGUUGAAAAAUUAGCGGAUGACUUGUGGCUGGGGGUGAAAGGCCAAUCAAACCGGGAGAUAGCUGGUUCUCCCCGAAAGCUAUUUAGGUAGCGCCUCGUGAAUUCAUCUCCGGGGGUAGAGCACUGUUUCGGCAAGGGGGUCAUCCCGACUUACCAACCCGAUGCAAACUGCGAAUACCGGAGAAUGUUAUCACGGGAGACACACGGCGGGUGCUAACGUCCGUCGUGAAGAGGGAAACAACCCAGACCGCCAGCUAAGGUCCCAAAGUCAUGGUUAAGUGGGAAACGAUGUGGGAAGGCCCAGACAGCCAGGAUGUUGGCUUAGAAGCAGCCAUCAUUUAAAGAAAGCGUAAUAGCUCACUGGUCGAGUCGGCCUGCGCGGAAGAUGUAACGGGGCUAAACCAUGCACCGAAGCUGCGGCAGCGAC